This 488-nucleotide ribosomal RNA is filed under the name uncultured bacterium. Its description in RNAcentral is "bacterial SSU rRNA". It matches the Rfam family "Bacterial small subunit ribosomal RNA", at positions 523 to 1011 of the family's 1533-position model. The record is from RNAcentral.
AUACGAAGGGACCUAGCGUAGUUCGGAAUUACUGGGCUUAAAGAGUUCGUAGGUGGUUGAAACAGUUGGUGGUGAAAUCCCAGAGCUUAACUCUGGAACUGCCAUCAAAACUUUUCAGCUAGAGUAUGAUAGAGGAAAGCAGAAUUUCUAGUGUAGAGGUGAAAUUCGUAGAUAUUAGAAAGAAUACCAAUUGCGAAGGCAGUUUUCUGGAUCAUUACUGACACUGAGGAACGAAAGCAUGGGUAGCGAAGAGGAUUAGAUACCCCUGUAGUCCUGGCCGUAAACGAUGAACACUAGGUGUCGGGGAAUCGACCCCUCGGUGUCGUAGCCAACGCGUUAAGUGUUCCGCCUGGGGAGUACGCACGCAAGUGUGAAACUCAAAGGAAUUGACGGGGGCCCGCACAAGCGGUGGAGUAUGUGGUUUAAUUCGAUGCAACGCGAAGAACCUUACCAGGGUUUGACAUCCUGCGAACCUCUUGGAAACGAGA